This is an RNA transcript of Daucus carota subsp. sativus, 1389 nucleotides long. RefSeq lists it as uncharacterized. The record is from RefSeq and is a predicted model, not a curated record. The transcript has 2 exons. NCBI's taxonomy places the organism in Eukaryota, Viridiplantae, Streptophyta, Magnoliopsida, Apiales, Apiaceae.
GGGUUGGUAAUUUAGAAGGUUCUCGCUCGGCCCGUACCUAACAGAAACUUUAAUUUUUUUUUAAAAAAGAAGUGCAAGCGACAGGGAAACUGAACAGAGGAAGAGAGGAGACGCGGAGGAGCAGCAGGAUCGUUGGUGAGCCAACCAAAAUGGUGGCUGAUGAUGAAAAGGCAUCCACUCUUUGUCCAAAAAGAAAACAUCAAGAUGCAGCAGGCUCUAGUGGCGCUGUUGAUGCUCUCUCUGUUUCCCCAACGAUAACCCUAAUCGACCCCAAAGUGUUAGAUUGCGUCUUCUGCCACACUUUCCUCAGCAUCCCCGUCUACCAGUGUGACAACGGACAUCUGUCCUGCUCUGCCUGCUGCCGCACCUUGAAAAAAACCACUUGCCCUACAUGUUCCUUGCCAAUUGGCAAAAACCAAAGUCUGGCUGUUGAGAAGGUUCUCAAGUCAAUCAAAAUCUCAUGUAAGAACAUAACCUAUGGGUGCAAAGAGACAAUUAGAUUCGACAAAAAAUAUGAUCAUGAGUCCUUUAUGUGCAUCCACCAACCAUGCUCAUGUCCUCAGCAUGGCUGUGAAUUUCUGGCUUCCUCCAAGAUACUGUACUUGCACUACUACGAGAAACAUUUACAUUCCGCUAUCAACUUCAACUACAAUUCCUUUUUUACUGUUCCUAUUAAGAAGGGUGUGAAAAAUGUAAUUCUUCAGGAAAGUACGGACAAAACACUGUUUGUUCUUAAUUAUGGUGUUCAAAGUAUUGGAAGUGUGGCUAAUAUUAUCUGUAUCGCACAAAAAUCAUCCAAGAAAUGUUUCUCAUAUGAACUUGUAGCAUGGAAAGGGGAUAACAGUGUCAAGUUAGAGUCUCUCACUAAGAGUAAGCAAAGCUACUUUCCGUGUCUUCAAUGGUCAUGGUAUCUUUAUUCAACGGCAUUUCUUUUGGUUCCAUCAUAUUUUCUGGAUUCUUCCGGAGGGCACAACUUCCAGGUCUGUAUACGGAGUGGACCACAAGGAAAAUCUUGACAUGAAGACUUGCUUCAGUCAAACUAAGCAUUUUAUCAUAUUGCAAUCAGUUGAAAAUUUAUAGAGGGUGCUUGGCCCGGGAAGUAUGGAGCUUGUUUCGUUAAAAACUCAACUUUUGCUUAUUACUAUGUGUUUGUUUUUAGAAGCAUGUUGUACUUUAUGGGAUUUUAGAAGGAGAAGAAGCGGCCGGUUAGCUUUUUUGUUUGUAGCUAUUAACAUAUCCUUUCUCUGGCUGGAAAAAAAAACACUCAGCUAGUAACAUAUCGUUUAAAUAGAAAAAUACUCUGUCUAGUAGUGAUAUGGACUGAUGUAACGAUGAUCAAACACAAUUUGCUUUUAGUAAUUUGUAUUUUAAGUUGACCGAGUGACUUAA